This 65-nucleotide transfer RNA is filed under the name Oregonia gracilis. RNAcentral's name for it is "tRNA-Asn". Lineage: Eukaryota; Metazoa; Arthropoda; Malacostraca; Decapoda; Oregoniidae. The record is from RNAcentral.
UUAAUAAAAGCCAAAUUAGAGGCAUAUCACUGUUAAUGAUAAAACUGAAUUUUAUUCUUAUUAAG